CAAAAGCGUAUAUUAAAGUUGUUGCAGUUAAAAAGCUCGUAGUUGAACCUUGGGCUUGGCUGGCCGGUCCAUCUUUUUUGAUGCGUACUGGACCCAGCCGAGCCUUUCCUUCUGGCUAGCCUUUUGGCGAACCAGGACUUUUACUUUGAAAAAAUUAGAGUGUUCAAAGCAGGCCUUUGCUCGAAUAUAUUAGCAUGAAAUAAUAGAAUAGGACGUUAUGGUUCUAUUUUGUUGGUUUCUAGGACCAUCGUAAUGAUUAAUAGGGACGGUCGGGGGUAUCAGUAUUCAGUUGUCAGAGGUGAAAUUCUUGGAUUUACUGAAGACUAACUACUGCGAAAGCAUUUACCAAGGACGUUUUCAUUAA
Molecule: ribosomal RNA, 364 nt
Filed under: uncultured eukaryote
Lineage: Eukaryota
Description: partial 18S ribosomal RNA
Rfam family: Eukaryotic small subunit ribosomal RNA
Source: RNAcentral